RNAcentral lists this ribosomal RNA (921 nucleotides) under uncultured bacterium. RNAcentral describes it as "bacterial SSU rRNA". It matches the Rfam family "Bacterial small subunit ribosomal RNA", at positions 8 to 930 of the family's 1533-position model. The record is from RNAcentral.
AGAGUUUGAUCCUGGCUCAGAUUGAACGCUGGCGGAAUGCUUUACACAUGCAAGUCGAACGGUAGAGGGGGCAACCCCUUGAGAGUGGCGAACGGGUGAGUAAUAUAUCGGAACGUGCCCAGUCGUGGGGGAUAACGUAGCGAAAGUUACGCUAAUACCGCAUACGAUCUAAGGAUGAAAGCGGGGGAUCGCAAGACCUCGCGCGACUGGAGCGGCCGAUAUCAGAUUAGGUAGUUGGUGGGGUAAAGGCUCACCAAGCCAACGAUCUGUAGCUGGUCUGAGAGGACGACCAGCCACACUGGAACUGAGACACGGUCCAGACUCCUACGGGAGGCAGCAGUGGGGAAUUUUGGACAAUGGACGCAAGUCUGAUCCAGCCAUUCCGCGUGCAGGAUGAAGGCCCUCGGGUUGUAAACUGCUUUUGUACGGAACGAAAAGGUCUCUCCUAAUACGAGAGGCUCAUGACGGUACCGUAAGAAUAAGCACCGGCUAACUACGUGCCAGCAGCCGCGGUAAUACGUAGGGUGCAAGCGUUAAUCGGAAUUACUGGGCGUAAAGCGUGCGCAGGCGGUUAUAUAAGACAGAUGUGAAAUCCCCGGGCUCAACCUGGGAACUGCAUUUGUGACUGUAUAGCUAGAGUACGGUAGAGGGGGAUGGAAUUCCGCGUGUAGCAGUGAAAUGCGUAGAUAUGCGGAGGAACACCGAUGGCGAANGCAAUCCCCUGGACCUGUACUGACGCUCAUGCACGAAAGCGUGGGGAGCAAACAGGAUUAGAUACCCUGGUAGUCCACGCCCUAAACGAUGUCAACUGGUUGUUGGGUCUUAACUGACUCAGUAACGAAGCUAACGCGUGAAGUUGACCGCCUGGGGAGUACGGCCGCAAGGUUGAACUCAAAGGAAUUGACGGGGACCCGCACAAGC